GCUGUUGUCGUCAGUCAACUGUUCGCGUUGUGUGAGUGAGAAAGUGCGUUGCUGCGCUCGCUAGGAAAAAUUAAUUAUCCUCAUUAAUGGAAUUCUAAAAGUUGACUGAAGGAUAAUGGUGUACAGAGGAGAGAAGUGAAGCGUAGUGCUAAGUCCGGCUACAAUCUACAUCGGCUGAUACGUCGCCAAGGUCGUGUUUACCCCCUCCGGCAGAUGAUGGCGGACGUGGACCCGGAAACGCUGCUGGAAUGGCUACAGAUGGGACAGGGCGAGGAGCGCGACAUGCAGCUCAUCGCCCUCGAGCAGCUGUGCAUGUUGCUCCUCAUGUCCGAUAACGUCGACAGGUGCUUUGAAAGGUACGUGGAUGGUUUUUUGGUU
This 378-nucleotide long non-coding RNA is filed under the name Penaeus japonicus. RNAcentral's name for it is "uncharacterized LOC122253873, transcript variant X1". Lineage: Eukaryota; Metazoa; Arthropoda; Malacostraca; Decapoda; Penaeidae. The record is from RNAcentral.